UCCCUGGUAGUCCAGUGGUUAAGACUUCACCCUCCCAAAGCGGGGAGCACAGGUUUGAUCCCUGGUCAGGGAA
Molecule: transfer RNA, 73 nt
Filed under: Bos taurus (domestic cattle)
Lineage: Eukaryota; Metazoa; Chordata; Mammalia; Artiodactyla; Bovidae
Also listed under: 5 other names
Rfam family: tRNA
About the family: Transfer RNA (tRNA) molecules are approximately 80 nucleotides in length. Their secondary structure includes four short double-helical elements and three loops (D, anti-codon, and T loops).
Source: Rfam by way of RNAcentral